CGCCUGUUUAUCAAAAACAUCGCCUCUUGUUCAAUUAUAGGAGGUCCAGCCUGCCCAGUGACUUUGUUCAACGGCCGCGGUAUCCUAACCGUGCGAAGGUAGCGUAAUCACUUGUUCUUUAAAUGAGGACUAGUAUGAAUGGCCCCACGAGGGCUGCACUGUCUCCUUUUUCUAAUCAAUGAAAMUAAUCUCCCCGUGAAGAAGCGGGAAUUAUCCUAUAAGACGAGAAGACCCUAUGGAGCUUUAAACAAUUGAAACAUUUGCUUUUCUCCUAACUCCUCCCGAGCUCUUUAUUUUUAUUUAAGCAUUAUUAUUUCUAGUUUUAGGUUGGGGUGACCACGGAGCAAAACUAAACCUCCAUGAAGAAAUGAAUAUUUUUAAGCCACAAAMUACUUUUUUAAGCAUCAACAAAUUGACCUUCAUUGACCCAAUAUAUUGAUCAACGAACCAAGUUACCCUAGGGAUAACAGCGCAAUCUACUUCAAGAGCUCAUAUCGACAAGUAGGUUUACGACCUCGAUGUUGGAUCAGGGUAUCCUAGUGGUGCAGCCGCUACUAAUGGUUCGUUUGUUCAACGAUUAAAACCCU
This 587-nucleotide ribosomal RNA is filed under the name Ameerega trivittata (three-striped poison frog). RNAcentral's name for it is "partial large subunit ribosomal RNA". The record is from RNAcentral. Lineage: Eukaryota; Metazoa; Chordata; Amphibia; Anura; Dendrobatidae.